Long non-coding RNA from Leopardus geoffroyi (Geoffroy's cat), 1597 nucleotides. RefSeq lists it as uncharacterized. The record is from RefSeq and is a predicted model, not a curated record. NCBI's taxonomy places the organism in Eukaryota, Metazoa, Chordata, Mammalia, Carnivora, Felidae. The transcript has 3 exons.
UCAUGGAUUGCAAGUCCAUGACCUGAGUCGAGGUUGGACGCUUAACCGACUAAGCCACCCAGGCACCCCAGGAAUGAUUUUUUAAUGGCAAAGAAGGAGAAACUAAAAAUAGUGUAAAGGAUGUCGAUUUUUAAUUGAAAUAUUGUUCACACAUUUGUUGUAUUAGUUUUAGGCAUACAUCGUAUUAUUCCAUAUGUCUAUAAAUUAUGUUGUACCUAACCACAAGUGUAGCUAUCAUGUGAAAGCAUGCAACAUUAUUACAGGAUUGACUCUAUUCCAUUGGCUGUACCUUGUAUCCCUUGGACUUAUUCACUCCAUAGCUGGAAGCCGGUAUCUCUCUCUCAAAGGUGUCAAUUCUUUAACCUAAGUAUUUUGGUGGUAAACACAAUUACCUCUUGUUCAGUAUGUGUAAAUUGGCAGGCUCUUUUUCUGUGAACAUUGCUUAAAGCAUUACAAAUGAUAUCAUUACAUAAAUAAAUGUGGUUUCAUUUUUCACUCACUAGAAAGAAGGAAAAGAUUUCUUAGUUUCCCAGGCCCUGUCACCAAGACCCUUCCCAAAGUGGAGAACAGGCUUAGUUGCCCAGAACACCUUCUAUCCCUCGGCUGAGCGACCAGGGCCUCAACAUUGCAGGAAUUCCCAUGGUGGCCAGCAGAGAGUGCUCGAGCACCACAAACUAGGAGGGGCCGGUUCCUCUGGGUGUGCGGUGAUGGCCAGCAGAGGGCGCCCCAUCAGCUUUUCUGACCCAGGGCACCUUAGAGCAGGAAGGGCUUCUGUCGCCCCCAGAGGACUCAGGGCCUCUGCCGCUGCCUCAGGACAGAGACCAGAGCUGCGUUUCCAGCAGGUUCUGAAACCCGACCCAGGGGAGACCUUGGGAGCCUUGCAGCAACUUGCUGUCUCUUGAGUCGCCAGAGAGAAGCUGCCUUGUGGCACUGAGUGUUGAGGAGGGGGCGCUGGGUGGCUUCCCUGGGUGCGCUGGUCAGUCAGCAGCACAGGCCCUUGCAUUUUCUGGGCUGUUCCCGUGUUUCAUUCCUCACUUUCCCAGAUAGUAUUUGAGCAAGACGUAUUUUACUAAAGGACCCGUGGAUUGAGGGGUCUCGUGACAUCACAUCAUAGAUGCCGUGGAUGGUUUGUUCCAGAUUCAGGCUUGUUUCCGGGGAGAAAUCCUGACAGAAAUUCAGAAGAACGGAGCUGCAUUCGGUUAGGACGUGAAGACAUGAAAUGCCCGUUUGUCUCAGGACCUUCUAGAAGAAUGAGCUGGUAGCCACUUUCUGAGUCCUGCUGGAACCAGAGACCGAGUUUCCAUGUUUUAGCUGUACCUGUGACACAGGACACAAGAGAACGUGCUCAUGUGAACACAAGUGAAGGACAUGGUGGGGACUUGCCACACAGGUUUCCAUCCUGUCAAUGCUGAUCUUUUUGGACAAAGCAGCACAAACCGAACCCAGAACUGGAUGUGGACAGCUGUGGAGAAACCUGGCCUGUGGUCUUCAGUCUUCAGGAAGAACUGAAGUUCUUCUGAAGUUCCCAUCAAGAACCCCAUGAAAAAGCUGUUGUUUAACCACAGUAUGAAUGAACCCAAUAGAAAGGAAGAAUCCA